RNAcentral lists this ribosomal RNA (381 nucleotides) under uncultured bacterium. RNAcentral's name for it is "bacterial SSU rRNA". It matches the Rfam family "Bacterial small subunit ribosomal RNA", at positions 29 to 423 of the family's 1533-position model. The record is from RNAcentral.
AAUCAACGCUGGCGGCGUGCCUAACACAUGCAAGUCGAGCGAGAAAGUGGAGCAAUCCAUGAGUAAAGCGGCGACCGGGUGAGUAACACGUGACUAACCUACCUUCGAGUGGGGAAUAACUCCGGGAAACCGGGGCUAAUACCGCAUAACAUCGAAAGAUCAAAGCAGCAAUGCGCUUGAAGAGGGGGUCGCGGCUGAUUAGCUAGUUGGCGGGGUAACGGCCCACCAAGGCGAAGAUCGGUAUCCGGCCUGAGAGGGCGCACGGACACACUGGAACUGAAACACGGUCCAGACUCCUACGGGAGGCAGCAGUGGGGAAUAUUGCGCAAUGGGCGAAAGCCUGACGCAGCGACGCCGCGUGAGGGAUGAAGGCCUUCGGUU